This 500-nucleotide ribosomal RNA is filed under the name uncultured bacterium. RNAcentral's name for it is "partial 16S ribosomal RNA". It matches the Rfam family "Bacterial small subunit ribosomal RNA", at positions 30 to 523 of the family's 1533-position model. The record is from RNAcentral.
AUUGAACGCUGGCGGCAUGCCUUACACAUGCAAGUCGAACGGCAGCACGGGAGCAAUCCUGGUGGCGAGUGGCGAACGGGUGAGUAAAGUAUCGGAACGUGCCCAGUCGUGGGGGAUAACGUAGCGAAAGUUACGCUAAUACCGCAUACGAUCUAUGGAUGAAAGCGGGGGAUCGCAAGACCUCGCGCGAUUGGAACGGCCGAUAUCAGAUUAGGUAGUUGGUGGGGUAAAGGCUCACCAAGCCGACGAUCUGUGGCUGGUCUGAGAGGACGACCAGCCACACUGGGACUGAGACACGGCCCAGACUCCUACGGGAGGCAGCAGUGGGGAAUUUUGGACAAUGGGCGCAAGCCUGAUCCAGCCAUGCCGCGUGCAGGAUGAAGGCCUUCGGGUUGUAAACUGCUUUUGUACGGAACGAAAAGGUUUGACUUAAUACGUUGGACUCAUGACGGUACCGUAAGAAUAAGCACCGGCUAACUACGUGCCAGCAGCCGCCGCAG